This 492-nucleotide ribosomal RNA is filed under the name uncultured bacterium. Its description in RNAcentral is "partial 16S ribosomal RNA". It matches the Rfam family "Bacterial small subunit ribosomal RNA", at positions 29 to 507 of the family's 1533-position model. The record is from RNAcentral.
AGUGAACGCUGGCGGUAGGCCUAACACAUGCAAGUCGAACGGCAGCACAGUAAGAGCUUGCUCUUACGGGUGGCGAGUGGCGGACGGGUGAGGAAUACAUCGGAAUCUACUUUUUCGUGGGGGAUAACGUAGGGAAACUUACGCUAAUACCGCAUACGACCUACGGGUGAAAGCAGGGGAUCUUCGGACCUCGCGCGAUUGAAUGAGCCGAUGUCGGAUUAGCUAGUUGGCGGGGUAAAGGCCCACCAAGGCGACGAUCCGUAGCUGGUCUGAGAGGAUGAUCCGCCACACUGGAACUGAGACACGGUCCAGACUCCUACGGGAGGCAGCAGUGGGGAAUAUUGGACAAUGGGCGCAAGCCUGAUCCAGCCAUACCGCGUGGGUGAAGAAGGCCUUCGGGUUGUAAAGCCCUUUUGUUGGGAAAGAAAAGCAGCAGGUUAAUACCCCGCUGUUCUGACGGUACCCAAAGAAUAAGCACCGGCUAACUUCGUG